CCUGGCGGCACUAGCGCGGUGGUCCCACCUGACCCCAUGCCGAACUCAGAAGUGAAACGCCGUAGCGCCGAUGGUAGUGUGGGGUCUCCCCAUGUGAGAGGGAACUGCCAGGC
Molecule: ribosomal RNA, 113 nt
Filed under: Klebsiella pneumoniae
Lineage: Bacteria; Pseudomonadati; Pseudomonadota; Gammaproteobacteria; Enterobacterales; Enterobacteriaceae
Also listed under: 1 other name
Source: RNAcentral